ACCUUCUGUGUUGUAGUUGGUAGCGCCUUGGCUUAGUAAUGACAAGUCCCAGGUUCAAGUCCUGGUAGGGGUU
This is a non-coding RNA of Halocaridina rubra (Hawaiian volcano shrimp), 73 nucleotides long. The record is from the annotation of a GenBank genome assembly. NCBI's taxonomy places the organism in Eukaryota, Metazoa, Arthropoda, Malacostraca, Decapoda, Atyidae.